This is a long non-coding RNA of Cygnus olor (mute swan), 2660 nucleotides long. RefSeq lists it as uncharacterized. NCBI's taxonomy places the organism in Eukaryota, Metazoa, Chordata, Aves, Anseriformes, Anatidae. The transcript has 2 exons. The record is from RefSeq and is a predicted model, not a curated record.
AAGUUUGAUCCUUUCAAGAAAGAGUUGUCCUCUAAGGGACCCCAGAAAGGACUUUGGCCCUAUAAGCAAGGCUUGGCCCUCAGAAGGAUUUAAGGCCCCGCCAGCAAGAGUUGCGAUGUUUUAUGGGUUCAUGUCCCAGUGCGGUUCUACCAGCAGAUACAUUUUGGGGGGGUGGAGGGACAUUAAAAGUGAUAAUUUUUAUUCCACUCCCUGCCAGCGCAGGGCCCAACGAGCAGUGGGCUUAGUGGGACGGGAAGAGAUGCGCUGGGGGCUUUGAGAGUGGUAUUAAAAAGACAGUGAAAGAGGUAAAUUUUAUAUAUUUUUUAAAUUAAUUUUACUCCUGCUGGGUGUACAUUGUGUGUGGGUUUCCUUGUGGCAAGGAAGGCGUUGCAAACCCUGGAGUUUGGGGGGCAGCGGGGAGCCAGCACCAGGUUCCCCCAGCUCUGGUUGCUGUGGCGUUCAGCUGAAGAUAUCCACACGCCACCAGGAGCUUCCAGAGAGCUCCAGGUUUCUGACUCGAGUGGUCAAACCCUUUCCAUCAGCAGGUGAGGCGCAGGUUUACCUGACAUUCCUCAAUUUUGCUAUUUCGCCAUAUUUUCGCUCCACAAGCUGGAGCUGGACCAUCAACAAACAGCGUGGUGAGAAUCCUCAGGUUAUGAUGCUGCCUUCUCUCGGGGAUGCUCCUUAAAACCUAAAGCUCUAACACCUAACAGCGACAGCUCCCAAAGCACGGCAGGGAUGAGCUGAAUUUGUUUCACAGACGCAGACGUCGUGGAGGCAAUACGUAACUGCAGACAGUGCCCUGCUGCCGGGUGGGUCCUGCCUUUGAGGCACGAGGGCCUUCCUGAACAUGACGGCGAGCAGCACUCGGUCGCCAAAGGAGUGGUUUUCCUGAGGUUUCGUUUACCAUGUUUGGACACGGCCGUGAUUAAUAUUUCCUAACAGGAAGACGUCAUGCGUGCAGGCUUUCCUCUUCGGGGUUCGGGUCGCGGCUGACCAAGUUCAGGUUGUACGCUGGCUCCUCGCUUCCUCCGGCUCGCAGACUACACCCGGCGGCUCCGUGUCGGACCCCAGCGGCUGCGGUCACCCAUUGCCGAGCCCGACGCGGGUCCUGGCGCCGAUGUGGUGUCACCACACCAUCCCUGGGGACCCGGAGAGCUUCGGUUUCCCUGUGCAGACACUGGCACCCUGACAUGCUGCACUUAUCUCCGAGGGAUUCCUGCUGCAGAGUCUGCAUGGGCUGCAGCAUCAGGCAGCAAAGCCUUGCUGCCCAUGUCCCACAUCCAGCUGCCACCCAGCCAGAAGAAGCAGCCCCGUUAGGUCUCCUGCGUCACCAGUAACUGUGCCAUGAAACUCUGCGCUGCGUCCCAAAGCCGCCUUACCCCACACGGAUUAGCCAAGCAGAUGGGUUGCAGCACUGGGCGGUUUCAAAAGAGAAAUUUUGCUUUUCUGGGACGCUGGCCAUCAGAAGAAUGUAUUUCUCCUGAAGUCUGCAGCGCUAACGGUCCUGGAGGACAAAGCCUUCUGACUCAAGCAGCACCCUGUUAACUGUGCAAAGUUUGUAGGGACCUGGGCAGCCCCACAAAGUGACCCAUCUGUGGUGUAGCAAGGGGGCUUCGGGGUAUAUUGCCCUCUGAAGUUUAUUUUCCCUAUUCACCCUGUAGUGAAAACAGAGGAGCUGCAUCUGCCGCCUCACUUAAAGCUUUCCCCAGAGGGUAAAAAUGAAAAUGGAAGAUGUAUAUAUCUGUAUAAACACACUUCCAGAUACACUUAAUAACAUAAUGUGGUAACAUUAUGGGUGGUAACGUCUUUGGGUGGGAGAAGCAUCCAUAAGGCAACGGGAUAAAUGACUGACAGCCCUCAGCAGGAGGCGGAGGGGGAGAUGGACACUGUCCUGCUGGGACCAAAGUGCCCAUCACCUCCUACCAGACGAGCAGCUGGGCCGGGUCCAGCUUAAACACAACCAGGCUGCUAUUCAGAGAGGAUUCAGCAGGGCCAAUAACCCUGGGUCCUUCUGUUUUGCAUUCUGGGUUUCAAGCCCCUAAGCAUUCGCACACGUGAGCUUUCUGCCUCAACUCUGGCAGCUGCAAAAAUGAGUUCUCUGCUCCAAACGAGAGCCGAGAUUCCCAUGUAAUGACCUGACCCCAGGAGACAGACUUCUAAAAAGUACCAAAAAUGUGGCAGACCCGCUGCAUCGGGCAUACGCACGUGCGUGUCCAGACGCUGGAUUUAGAGCAAGGCUUUGGUGAGCCAGCGGUUGCUACAUGCAGUCUGGAGGGCAAUGAAAAGAGGAGGCUUUUUGUUUCAAGACCCAUCAUUUAUUUUCAUUUGGAAAUCAAUCUACUCGGGACAACAGGAAGAAAAAGACAAGAAGAGACUCCAAGUAAAGGAGGUUGAGUUUAAUCCCAAAAGAAAAUGUUGCGGGAGGCCUGAAACAGCUUUUGGGGACUGAACUGCUCCCCACAGGUGUGAUUUUUUUGUUCAUCCAUUGACCUGAUGAAUCCCUUCCCCACCAGGCUCUGCCCAUGGCAUGGUCAAGGUUGUGUCACACACGUUGGAGAGCAUCACAGCCUCACCUGCACAGAAAAACACUGCAGGGGAGAAAUAGUUCCUGAAGUCAAGCACUGUAAUUUACUAACAGGUUUAUUAAAAUCUUAUUA